RNAcentral lists this unclassified non-coding RNA (332 nucleotides) under soil metagenome. Its description in RNAcentral is "partial contains 5.8S ribosomal RNA, internal transcribed spacer 2, and large subunit ribosomal RNA". The stretch from base 1 to 120 matches the Rfam family "5.8S ribosomal RNA", at positions 35 to 154 of the family's 154-position model. The record is from RNAcentral.
GAUGAAGAACGCAGUGAAAUGCGAUACGUAAUGUGAAUUGCAGAUUUCAGUGAAUCAUCGAAUCUUUGAACGCACAUUGCGCCCGCCAGUAUUCUGGCGGGCAUGCCUGUUCGAGCGUCAUUUCAACCAUCAAGCGCCUAGCUUGUGUUGGGGCCCUGCGGCUGCCGCAGGCCCCUAAAUCCAGUGGCGGGCUCGUCGUCGUACCGAGUGCAGUAAACAUCCUCGCUCAGGGAACCCGACGGGUGCCGGCCGUGAAACCCCCCCUCCUCAAGGUUGACCUCGGAUCAGGUAGGAAUACCCGCUGAACUUAAGCAUAUCAAUAAGCGGAGGAA